Molecule: long non-coding RNA, 414 nt
Filed under: Gossypium barbadense (sea-island cotton)
Lineage: Eukaryota; Viridiplantae; Streptophyta; Magnoliopsida; Malvales; Malvaceae
Description: long non-coding RNA (GBAR_LNC001212)
Source: RNAcentral
ACUCAUUCCUUGAAACAUACCUUGUUUUUGCUAUUUUUAGCAAAGUCAUCCUACUCAUUCCUCUUCUCAAGGUGGUUGGCCAUGGGAAUGGAGAUUGGUUGCUAUUUUUAGCAAAUGCAAGCUGCCCCUGUAAAUACCAACCAUUACCCCCUCAUUUCAUCAUCCCUCAUUCAUCCAUCUUUCUCUCUUUUCUCUCUUUGUUUUCCUUUCCCAUUUUUCCACUUUCAAGUGAGUUGUGCAAGGAUUUGAUAGCAGCCCUUUCAGCCAUUUUUGGUUUAAUAACAUGGCAAGGAGUGAAGCACAAAGGAGGAGCAAGGAAGUUAUGCCACGGAGAACCACUUGAAAUGACUUUGCAUUUCUUUCCCUUUACUCUUGUAUUUUCUUAUCGUUCAAUUUAAGAAAAAUGUUUGCAAC